Molecule: long non-coding RNA, 581 nt
Organism: Melitaea cinxia (Glanville fritillary)
Lineage: Eukaryota; Metazoa; Arthropoda; Insecta; Lepidoptera; Nymphalidae
Exons: 2
Source: RefSeq, a predicted model, not a curated record
AGAUUGAUCGCGGUUAUUAUAAGAUUGCGAACAAGUUGUGUGCCAUAUACGUGUAAAUAUGAACGCGCCGUUCCGUCGUAAAUCAAACUUUUUUGCAGCGGCCGCGCACUCCUUAUAUCUUCGUGAAUCGAGUCAACAUCAAUCCAUUUUCGUUGGCGAAUUUUUAACUUUUUCUCGGUUCAGACGGUCGUCGGCUGGUGGUAUCAAUCAUAAUUGGUCUGUUUUUGCGUUUUCGAGAAUCGGCGAGCUGCGUGCACGCACGUCUGCGACGGGGGCGGGGCGGUGGCCGGCGGGGGGGUGUCACUGUGCAAAUGCACUCGUAAACCCGGCGCGAGGUCAACGCACCCCCUCUCCGCGCGUCCACGACGCCCGCGCACCCCGUCCCUAUAAAACCUUAUAUAACUACGUUUUGAUAUCCUGAGCCCUGAUGACCCAUUUGAAAGAGCGUGCAAAUCGAUUACCCUCGCGUCACUAUCUCGCGUUCUUCUUCGGGCUCUGAAACUUCCAACAAUGCUCAGUUUUCAAUUAUUAAAUUUAUGUAUUAAUGAUAUAGUUACUUAUAAUAAAUGAUAUUAUAAUUA